GAUGAACGCUAGCGGCAGGCUUAAUACAUGCAAGGCGAGGGGGCAGCAAUGUCACCGUCGUACGGGUGCGUAACGCGUAUGCAACCUACCUAUCACUGGGGGAUAGCCCGGGGAAACCCGGAUUAAUACCGCAUAAUACAUUUGGGCCACCUGGUUUGAUUUGUUAAAGAUUUAUUGGUGAUAGAUGGGCAUGCGUUCGAUUAGCUAGUUGGCAGGGUAACGGCCUACCAAGGCAACGAUCGAUAGGGGAGCUGAGAGGUUGAUCCCCCACACGGGCACUGAGAUACGGGCCCGACUCCUACGGGAGGCAGCAGUAGGGAAUAUUGGGCAAUGGAUGCAAGUCUGACCCAGCCAUGCCGCGUGCCGGAUGAAGGCCCUCAGGGUUGUAAAGCUCUGUCCUAAGGGAAGAUAAUGACGGUACCCUAGGAGGAAGCCCCGGCUAACUACGUG
Molecule: ribosomal RNA, 450 nt
Filed under: uncultured bacterium
Lineage: Bacteria
Description: bacterial SSU rRNA
Rfam family: Bacterial small subunit ribosomal RNA
Source: RNAcentral